UCGCAGCCCGACUUGAGCGGAAAUCCUUUUUUGCUUGUACUCUAGUUCUAUUUAAUCUCUGCAAAAAAGAUUGAGAGCGGAAGGCGGAUAAAGC
Molecule: small RNA, 94 nt
Filed under: Epilithonimonas zeae
Lineage: Bacteria; Pseudomonadati; Bacteroidota; Flavobacteriia; Flavobacteriales; Weeksellaceae
Description: Chryseobacterium zeae Flavo-1 RNA
Rfam family: Flavo-1 RNA
Source: RNAcentral